Molecule: non-coding RNA, 28 nt
Filed under: Bombyx mori (domestic silkworm)
Lineage: Eukaryota; Metazoa; Arthropoda; Insecta; Lepidoptera; Bombycidae
Source: RNAcentral
UACUGUUAAAAGGAAAACUUUCCAAGGC